CGCGUAGGUGGCCACCAUAAGGCCGCGGUGAAAGUUCGGGGCUCAACCCCGGAUCGGCCGCGGCGACUGUGGGGCUCGGGUACUGUAGAGGCAGAUGGAAUUCCGGGUGUAGCGGUGGAAUGCGUAGAGAUCCGGAAGAACACCAGUGGCGAAGGCGGUCUGCUGGGCAGUGGGAUCGAAAGGUCCCUUCAACCGACACUGAGGCGCGACAGCGUGGGGAGCAAACA
RNAcentral lists this ribosomal RNA (227 nucleotides) under uncultured bacterium. Its description in RNAcentral is "partial 16S ribosomal RNA". It matches the Rfam family "Bacterial small subunit ribosomal RNA", at positions 568 to 774 of the family's 1533-position model. The record is from RNAcentral.